CAGCCCCGCCUCCCACAUAUCCUCGAACGUAAUCCCAAUUUUGGCAACCGUCCCUCUGGAGUCUGGAAUCUCGAUCCUUGUCGCAUCGCCGCGCGGCCUUUCAAUUCCUCCAAGUCCAAGCUGAUCGGUGCACCGCUAAAUAACCUAUCGAUUCCUCUGAUCGAUCGCAAAUCCUACUGAUUCCUACCGAUUCUUCCUCAGAUCGAUCGCAAACUCCGCCGCCGCUGUUCAAGCAUCAUGCGCCUCCGCCGCCGCGACUCAGCGACGCUCGCUAUCCAUGACUGGGACCCGCGAUGCUGGCAAAGUAAUCAAAUCUGACCAGGACAGCAAUACCCCUGCCGCCGCCAUUGCCCUCAUCGUCGAUCUCGCGUCCGACCCUGCAACAAGCGCCCCAGCCCCCAUCCGACCCCUAUUCCCCAACUCCAGCGCUCGACGUCCCGUGUCCGCACUUGAACCCCCUCCCCUCCCUCCCCCGCCUGCACUGGAUUUUGCGUGUUCCGUAUCCUAUCAGCUAAUUUCCAUCUUCUCAUCCCGAUCUCGCCUGGGUUUGGAGACAGAUUCGCAGCGUUGAAGAUCGGCGGCGCCAGGUUGUUCUUACGCGACUGCAGGUUCCCACCUUUUUCCUUCGCCAUGGAUUUGACUGGAUAAAUGAGACGUGAAGCCCUCCUGCAACAAUUUCUAACUGUGCUGGUCUCCUGAUCGUAUUAUAUUUGGACAACCUACAUCACACGCUCUCCCGGAUGAUUGGAUUUCCACACCCCGCGCGAAAUUCUAGCAGAAAUCCCUGGUUGAGUGGCUAACAAAUGCGGAUUGAAUUAGAUGGAGGGAUAGAACUGAUAAGUACAUCUUCCUACCAGUGUCUUUCUUCAAAUUUGUUUUUUUUCCUUUGUAUCUGAUGGACUCAUAUUGGAUUGUGAAUUGCAGUUUAAGCUGGGCAAGCACUUAUUACGCUGCAGCUGACAGUGCACCAGAUGAAUUUUGCACAUGGACAUGAAGUCCAUCAGAGAAGGUUGAAAUCACCAAUGGACGAAUUCCAAUAUUUUGGAUGCGCAAAACAAUGAUCAAGAAGCAGCAGAUUUCAAGAAUAUAUUUACAUUUCAUUUCCAGCAGGACAGAAUUGCACUCUUCGCUGCUAUACACUAAUACAUGUAGAUUUGCUACCUAGAAUCAUGUUGUUCUGUGUACAUACGAUGACAUAUAUAUUAUGAACAAGCAAUCCAAUUUUUACUUUCGGAGAUGAAUGUAUCUUCGUAUCCUUAUUGAAAUCUA
Molecule: long non-coding RNA, 1269 nt
Organism: Panicum virgatum (switchgrass)
Lineage: Eukaryota; Viridiplantae; Streptophyta; Magnoliopsida; Poales; Poaceae
Exons: 4
Source: RefSeq, a predicted model, not a curated record